CACCAAAGACUUUUGUCAGGAUGUCUUCCUAUUUUCACUCACGAAGUAUGUCUGUUACGGCUUUGGAAGAAUAAGAGGUCUCCGCUUCUGUACUACCCGUUUUGGGUUUGUCGGAUUGUGAAGGUGUCGUUUUGACUGCCAUCACUUAGGAGUUCCAGAGAGUCUUAUGAGUUGAACUCUGAAGGGUUGUUCACUUUGUGAUCUUGACCCAUUCAUGGAUGAUGUUCGUAGUAAAGACUCUCACAUUC
This 248-nucleotide small nucleolar RNA is filed under the name Petasospora fabianii. Its description in RNAcentral is "Cyberlindnera fabianii Small nucleolar RNA snR191". It matches the Rfam family "Small nucleolar RNA snR191". The record is from Rfam by way of RNAcentral. Lineage: Eukaryota; Fungi; Ascomycota; Saccharomycetes; Phaffomycetales; Wickerhamomycetaceae.